UCCCUGGUGGUCUAGUGGUCAGGAUUUCAAGUUUUCACCUCUACAACUUGGGUUCAAUCCCUGGUCUGGGAA
Sus scrofa (pig) is the source of this 72-nucleotide non-coding RNA. The record is from Rfam. NCBI's taxonomy places the organism in Eukaryota, Metazoa, Chordata, Mammalia, Artiodactyla, Suidae.